Molecule: ribosomal RNA, 497 nt
Filed under: uncultured bacterium
Lineage: Bacteria
Description: partial 16S ribosomal RNA
Rfam family: Bacterial small subunit ribosomal RNA
Source: RNAcentral
GAUGAACGCUGGCGGCGUGCCUAAUACAUGCAAGUCGAGCGAACGGACGAGAAGCUUGCUUCUCUGAUGUUAGCGGCGGACGGGUGAGUAACACGUGGAUAACCUACCUAUAAGACUGGGAUAACUUCGGGAAACCGUAGCUAAUACCGGAUAAUAUUUUGAACCGCAUGGUUCAAAAGUGAAAGACGGUCUUGCUGUCACUUAUAGAUGGAUCCGCGCUGCAUUAGCUAGUUGGUAAGGUAACGGCUUACCAAGGCAACGAUGCAUAGCCGACCUGAGAGGGUGAUUCGCCAAACUGGAACUGAGAAACGGUCCAGAAUCCUACGGGAGGCAGCAGUAGGGAAUCUUCCGCAAUGGGCGAAAGCCUGACGGAGCAACGCCGCGUGAGUGAUGAAGGUCUUCGGAUCGUAAAACUCUGUUAUUAGGGAAGAACAUAUGUGUAAGUAACUGUGCACAUCUUGACGGUACCUAAUCAGAAAGCCACGGCUAACUACGUG